This 447-nucleotide ribosomal RNA is filed under the name uncultured bacterium. RNAcentral describes it as "bacterial SSU rRNA". It matches the Rfam family "Bacterial small subunit ribosomal RNA", at positions 328 to 792 of the family's 1533-position model. The record is from RNAcentral.
CGUCCAGACUCCUACGGGAGGCAGCAGUGGGGAAUAUUGCACAAUGGGGGAAACCCUGAUGCAGCGACGCCGCGUGGGUGAAGAAGUACUUCGGUACGUAAAGCCCUAUCAGCAGGGAAGAAAAUGACGGUACCUGAUUAAGAAGCCCCGGCUAACUACGUGCCAGCAGCCGCGGUAAUACGUAGGGGGCAAGCGUUAUCCGGAUUUACUGGGUGUAAGGGGAGCGUAGGCGGUUUAGCAAGUCAGAAGUGAAAGCCCGGGGCUCAACUCCGGGACUGCUUUUGAAACUGUUGAACUAGAUUGCAGGAGAGGUAAGUGGAAUUCCCAGUGUAGCGGUGAAAUGCGUAGAUAUUAGGAGGAACACCGGUGGCGAAGGCGGCCUGCUGGACUGUAACUGACGUUGAGGCUCGAAAGCGUGGGGAGCAAACAGGAUUAGAUACCCUAGUA